AGUGAACGCUGGCGGUAGGCCUAACACAUGCAAGUCGAACGGCAGCACAGUAAGAGCUUGCUCUUACGGGUGGCGAGUGGCGGACGGGUGAGGAAUACAUCGGAAUCUACUUUUUCGUGGGGGAUAACGUAGGGAAACUUACGCUAAUACCGCAUACGACCUACGGGUGAAAGCAGGGGAUCUUCGGACCUUGCGCGAUUGAAUGAGCCGAUGUCGGAUUAGCUAGUUGGCGGGGUAAAGGCCCACCAAGGCGACGAUCCGUAGCUGGUCUGAGAGGAUGAUCAGCCACACUGGAACUGAGACACGGUCCAGACUCCUACGGGAGGCAGCAGUGGGGAAUAUUGGACAAUGGGCGCAAGCCUGAUCCAGCCAUACCGCGUGGGUGAAGAAGGCCUUCGGGCUGUAAAGCCCUUUUGUUGGGAAAGAAAAGCAGCAGGUUAAUACCCCGCUGUUCUGACGGUGCCCAAAGAAUAAGCACCGGCUAACUUCGUG
This 492-nucleotide ribosomal RNA is filed under the name uncultured bacterium. RNAcentral describes it as "partial 16S ribosomal RNA". It matches the Rfam family "Bacterial small subunit ribosomal RNA", at positions 29 to 507 of the family's 1533-position model. The record is from RNAcentral.